This 222-nucleotide ribosomal RNA is filed under the name uncultured bacterium. RNAcentral describes it as "partial 16S ribosomal RNA". It matches the Rfam family "Bacterial small subunit ribosomal RNA", at positions 524 to 742 of the family's 1533-position model. The record is from RNAcentral.
UACGUAGGGCGCAAGCGUUAUCCGGAAUUAUUGGGCGUAAAGAGCUCGUAGGCGGUUUGUCGCGUCUGCUGUGAAAACUGGGGGCUCAACCCCCAGCCUGCAGUGGGUACGGGCAGACUAGAGUGCGGUAGGGGAGACUGGAAUUCCUGGUGUAGCGGUGAAAUGCGCAGAUAUCAAGGAGGAACACCCGGUGGGCGAAGGCGGGUCUCUGGGCCGAUACUG